GUGUGCGCGUGUGUGUGUCUGUGUCUGUGUCUGUGUGUGUGUGUGUGUGUGUGUGUGUGUGUGUGUAACAGUGUCCUUAAAUAAGGACCAGAGGUGUUGUUUAUUCCGCCCCCAUAGUCCUCCAUUGAAAAUACCUUUUCAAAACAGUCAGCUGCAGUUCUCACCAUAAUAAUAAAUCACCCAUCUAUGCUAAUUGCAUCCACAUUUCUGGAGGAGAGUUUGCCAUUAUCAAAGAGUAUUGGAUUUUUCAAACAACACAGCUGGGUCUUUUCGGUUGACUUCCAUGUAGCAUUCAGCAAUAUCGAGUGACACUGGCAUUUACAAAAAGUGCUCAAACCGUAAAGGAAGCAUAGAAGAGCUGUGCAUCUCCGGGCCAGGCCGGCGCUGGUGGCAUUAUCCUAAUUAUACAUGAUGAUAGAAAUGCGGAUUAGUCAAUAACUUCCAGGCAAAAGAGAACCACUGGUGACAUUCUACUGAAUAUCCUGCUUGAUAUUCCAGCCCCAUGCAGGGUUUCUAUUUCCACCCACUGAGGAGCUAGCUUGGCUUGGCAAGCGUUCACAGAGAAUUCAGAAACCUGUAACUUUUCUUUUUCUUCUGUCAUUAGCACCGUCCUACACAGUUACAUUAACUGAGAGGACGCUUUGUCAUUAUAUGUAGAACUCUAACAACUAGUCACUAUUCUUUCCAUUAGUCAGGAUUAAAACAAAAAUCUAGCACAGACAUUCACAUAUUCAGACAGAUUUGCAGUUGGGGGGUAAAAUCAAGCAAAUGAUAAUACAAAAUUGAAUUCUUUCCAUCAAAAUGUUUUCUAGCAAUAAAAACCUCAAUGUGUGAAAGAGCAGAGGGCAUGAGUUAACAUUGAGGGCAUAUGGUGUAUGGCUUUACCAAUGAGCUAGGUUCAGCAGCAGACAUAAGGUAGUAUGGGAGUUAUACACAUAUACUGAGCACCUCAAAGCAUGGUAAUACCCUAGCUUGGCUUGAGUGAAGAUUAGCAUGGUUGCUGCUGCAGCCGUGUACUCACGGCCUGACUUUGUUGUUGAAGUGCCGUCGUACAAGUAGGGCCACGGUGGUGAGGACCAUCAUAGUGGUGCACAUGGUCUUCGGUCCUCCCCCGCCGGCGAUCCAGGCUGUCGGCGAGCUUCACCACCAAAGGUCCAUGGCUCCCGCUGUGCUGGAGCUUCGCUAGCCAAGUUAGCGUGUGGCUAUUCCUAUCACUGCUCUCUGCUGCUACCGCCUGUUCACGUGAGCCCAGAGGCUUAGAUUAUCUCAGAUUAAGGUGGAUGACUGUGAGGUGGUGGUGGUGGUGGUGAUGGUAGUGGAUGUGAAGGGUGGGGUGAGUCUCCUUAUCAACAACACGUAACACAGCACAUGCUAAUCCUGCCUGGUGCGUGAAGGUAGUCUGACAUCAUUUCCAGUUAUUUUUGUCUUAUAGGUGAAACACUAUUCUGAGCUUUGCCUUUAACUCAUUAUUUACAGACUCCAUUUAUCGAAAACCAAGCUAAAGUUUUUCAGUUAUUGCAUCAAGAUGGUGUGAACAUAUGCUAUGUUACCAUAGGGGCAUUUGUUUCAGUUAUCCAGGUAUUUGCAUAGAAAUUUCUAGUACCUCUUUCUUGUCAAAUUACAAUGCGGGGCUGCAAAGCAUGAAGGGCCAUCGCUGGCAUUCAGUGCAUAUUUGUCUUUGUGUUUCACCGCGGCAUGGGAUUGUCACCCGUCUUCCAUCUCAUUAGUGUGGCCAAGACGGCCAUUUCUCUGCAGCAAGAAGUCAUUUUGGUUGGUGGAGAGGAUGGGGGGGGUGGUGUUGGUGUUGGUGUAGUUGGCCGUUGGGGAACCAUUACCUCCCUUAUUAGACUGAAAUGACGGAGGGAGACGGAGGACAGCGGAACCAGAGGCUGGCCCUGUGACCCUCACCUCACGCCAGAUGCCAACCCUGCUGCAUGGAGCCGCUGGAGCUCCACAGAGACUCCUCAGUUCAGCCGAGGGUUGGUUUUUACCGAGCCUGAUAUAGGUAUAUGAUAUAUAUACUGUAUACAUAUGGUAUAUGAUGUAUAUAUAACAGCUAGAGGAGGCAGAUAGCUCCACCUUUGAGGAGUUUGGUGUGGGAUAUGUCUGGAUGUCACUAAAAGUCACAUACAUAAUUCAGAUUCGAAUAUGUGGAAGGGGUAGUGUCGUAUUAAAACCCAAUGGUAGCAUUUUUGGGUGUGCAAAUGUGUUUAUGCUCGUGGAUGUUUCACGUGUUGUGCCCUAACAUAACCUUGGCAAGCUGCAGGUGAGGACUUAAAGUUUGGUCAGAGUGGUUGGCUUUUGGACCCUGUCAUAUGCAGCGAAAGAGUGUGUGUUGUUUAUGUGUGUGUGUGUGUGUGUGUGUGUGUGUGUGUGUGUGUGUGUGUGUGUGUGUGUGUGUGUGUGUGUAUUUCGUCCCCGUGGCAUGUAAGGACAUGUAUUGACAUGAAACUGAAAACAAUGUUUGUAUGAGGGCGUACAUAGAUACAAACUCACUCACUUUGCACUACAGACAACAUCGGGGAGGUUGGAGAGUUAACACACACACACUAUGCUUCGGUCACACUGAGCACGUGUGUCCCCAGAAGCAGAGGGUCUAGGGGCAGCAACAGCAGAACACAGUUAGAAACUCUAAUUAGAUGAUUUAGCCAUUAUGCUCACUUUGCACUCUUUCCCUUUUACCCCCCCACCCCGCCCCCCC
Long non-coding RNA from Clupea harengus (Atlantic herring), 2701 nucleotides. Lineage: Eukaryota; Metazoa; Chordata; Actinopteri; Clupeiformes; Clupeidae. The record is from Ensembl.